GGGAUGCCCAGUAGCGGCGAGUGAAGCGGCAAGAGCUCAGAUUUGAAAUCGUGUUUCGGCACGAGUUGUAGAGUGUAGGCGGGAGUCUCUGUGGAGCGCGGUGUCCAAGUCCCUUGGAACAGGGUGCCUGAGAGGGUGAGAGCCCCGUAGGGUGCUGCGCGAAGCUUUUGAGGCCCUGCUGACGAGUCGAGUUGUUUGGGAAUGCAGCUCCAAGCGGGUGGUAAAUUCCAUCUAAGGCUAAAUAUUGGCGAGAGACCGAUAGCGAACAAGUACUGUGAAGGAAAGAUGAAAAGCACUUUGAAAAGAGAGUGAAACAGCACGUGAAAUUGUUGAAAGGGAAGGGUAUUGGGCUCGACAUGGGGGGUGCGCACCGCUGUCUCUUGUAGGCGGCGCUCUGGGCGCCCUCUGGGCCAGCAUCGGUUCCUGCUGCGGGAGAAGGGGCUCCGGAAAGUGGCUCUUCGGAGUGUUAUAGCCGGGGCCAGAUGCCGCGUGUGGGGACCGAGGACUGCGGCUUCUGUCUCGGAUGCUGGCAUAACGGCGCAAUACCGCCCGUCUUGAAACACGGACA
This 568-nucleotide ribosomal RNA is filed under the name Pichia manshurica. Its description in RNAcentral is "eukaryotic LSU rRNA". It matches the Rfam family "Eukaryotic large subunit ribosomal RNA", at positions 72 to 667 of the family's 3401-position model. Lineage: Eukaryota; Fungi; Ascomycota; Pichiomycetes; Pichiales; Pichiaceae. The record is from RNAcentral.